UAAGGAAUAUUGGACAAUGGUCGCAAGACUGAUCCAGCCAUGCCGCGUGCAGGAAGACGGCCCUAUGGGUUGUAAACUGCUUUUGUACCAGAGAAAACCUAUCUACGUGUAGAUAGCUGAUAGUAUGGUAAGAAUAAGCAUCGGCUAACUUCGUGCCAGCAGCCGCGGUAAGACGAAGGAUGCAAGCGUUAUCCGGAUUCAUUGGGUUUAAAGGGUGCGUAGGCGGGCUUGUAAGUCAGUGGUGAAAUCUCUCAGCUUAACUGAGAAACUGCCACUGAUACUGCAGGCCUAGAGUAUAGAUGACGUUGGCGGAAUAUGACAUGUAGUGGUGAAAUACUUAGAUAUGUCAUAGAACACCGAUUGCGAAGGCAGCUAACGAAACUAUAACUGACGCUGAGGCACGAAAGUGCGGGGAUCAAACA
RNAcentral lists this ribosomal RNA (422 nucleotides) under uncultured bacterium. RNAcentral's name for it is "bacterial SSU rRNA". It matches the Rfam family "Bacterial small subunit ribosomal RNA", at positions 355 to 774 of the family's 1533-position model. The record is from RNAcentral.